CCAGACCCCGGCCGCAAUACGACGCGUCGCCGCCCCCACGGUCCAGGGGGCCCACCCCCAGUAGGGAGGCUGCGGCCCCCGCCGCCCCCGCCCAGCCGCCGGCGCAGCCCAGCAGCAGGAUCACGAAGAAAGGCGCAGCUGGCCCCGCCCCGAGCCCUGUUCACGCCGCCGCGGCCGCCCCGGCCGCCUCCGCCCCGGCCCACCUGAAGACUCAGCAGCAGGCGAAGAAGAGGACCGGCACGAGGGUGCAGUACCAGCAGCAGAAGGCAGCGGCCCAGACUCGGCGGCGGCAGCAGCAACAGCGCUCCGCCAAACAGCAGCAGCAGUCGCAGCCGCAGUAUCACUUGCAGCGAUGAAGACGUCGUUGGGAGGCGCGGGAAGUUCGCACGAGAGAGAAAGAGAGAGACUGAAUGAGGGCCCACCUUGGCGCCGGCCCCGCUCAUCGUGGGGGCACCUUCACGCCCUUUUCUCUUUGACAGUCAAAAACUGAAGAUGACCAAAAAGUAUUUUAUUCGAAUGUGGGUGUAAGUGUGAGUCUGCCAGACUGAUCACAACUAUUUCCAGCAGUUGUUGAAUUUUUCAAUAUAACAUAACAGGUUAGCGUUUGGUUAUCCUCAAGUGGAGCGCCUGGCGUGCAGACCGUCCCGUUGGACGCGCAAGCCCCGCGGGGUUGCCUAUGCUCGCUCCGCAGGCGCCUGGCGCGUUGUAAAGCUCGGGAAGCACGGGCAACCCGAGGCCCUACGCAUGCGGCUGCUAGAGAGGAUUUCUCUUAAGAAGAGAAUACACCUAAGCUCUCGAGUGAGAGAGCUCAAGCUGCGCACUUGCUGUCUAAAUCUCCAAAUCAGAAAACACGAAAUUCCUCGGAAACCGUGAGUCGUAGCUCCAAAGUAACGAAAUUUUGGGGUGCCCUAGAAAGUCUCGCGGGGAACCCAAAAUAGGACCCCUCAUCCCUUCACAACAGUCAGAUUUGGAUUGAAACUACAUGAUUUGCCAGGAAACUUACCAUCAAUUGCAUGUGAAAAUGUUGUUUAAGUGAAUUCCAAUGUCUAUCAAGUUCAAAUUUGGCCUUAAUAAAAUAUCAUUUUUGUUUA
Long non-coding RNA from Frankliniella occidentalis (western flower thrips), 1091 nucleotides. RefSeq lists it as uncharacterized. The transcript has 2 exons. The record is from RefSeq and is a predicted model, not a curated record. Lineage: Eukaryota; Metazoa; Arthropoda; Insecta; Thysanoptera; Thripidae.